UACGUAGGGGGCAAGCGUUGUCCGGAAUGACUGGGCGUAAAGCGCGCGCAGGCGGUCUUUUAAGUCUGAGGUGAAAGGCUGGGGCUCGACCCUGGCAUCGCCUUGGAAACGGGAAGACUUGAGGACUGGAGAGGCAAGGGGAAUUCCACGUGUAGCGGUGAAAUGCGUAGAGAUGUGGAGGAAUACCAGUGGCGAAGGCGCCUUGCUGGACAGUGCCUGACGCUGAGGCGCGAAGGCGUGGGGAGCAAACAGGAUUAGAUACCCUGGUAGUCCACGCGGUAAACGAUGAGUGCUAGGUGUCGGAGGGUACCACCUCCGGUGCCGAAGGAAACCCAAUAAGCACUCCGCCUGGGGAGUACGGUCGCAAGACUGAAACUCAAAGGAAUUGACGGGGGCCCGCACAAGCAGUGGAGCAUGUGGUUUAAUUCGAAGCAACGCGAAGAACCUUACCAGGACUUGACAUCCCCCUGACGGGAGUAGAGAUAUUCCGUCCCUUCGGGGCAGGGGAGACAGGUGGUGCAUGGUUGUCGUCAGUUCGUGUCGUGAGAUGUUGGGUUAAGUCCCGCAACGAGCGCAACCCUUGAUCAGUGUUACCAGCACGUAAUGGUGGGGACUCACUGAUGACUGCCGGUGACAAACCGGAGGAAGGCGGGGAUGACGUCAAAUCAUCAUGCCCCUUAUGUCCUGGGCCACACACGUGCUACAAUGGGCGGUACAACGGGGAGCAAGAGAGCGAUCUGGAGCGAAACCCUAAAAGCCGUUCGUAGUUCGGAUUGCAGGCUGCAACCCGCCUGCAUGAAGCCGGAAUUGCUAGUAAUCGCGGAUCAGCAUGCCGCGGUGAAUCCGUUCCCGGGCCU
RNAcentral lists this ribosomal RNA (857 nucleotides) under uncultured bacterium. RNAcentral describes it as "bacterial SSU rRNA". It matches the Rfam family "Bacterial small subunit ribosomal RNA", at positions 524 to 1381 of the family's 1533-position model. The record is from RNAcentral.